Molecule: transfer RNA, 71 nt
Filed under: Puccinia triticina 1-1 BBBD Race 1
Lineage: Eukaryota; Fungi; Basidiomycota; Pucciniomycetes; Pucciniales; Pucciniaceae
Description: tRNA-Thr (AGT) (tRNA-Thr-AGT-148-1)
Rfam family: tRNA
About the family: Transfer RNA (tRNA) molecules are approximately 80 nucleotides in length. Their secondary structure includes four short double-helical elements and three loops (D, anti-codon, and T loops).
Source: RNAcentral
GCGUCUGUAGCCUAGUUGGUAAAGGCAGCACUCUAGUACUGAGUUUGUGAGUUUGACUCUCACCAGACACA